RNAcentral lists this ribosomal RNA (442 nucleotides) under uncultured bacterium. Its description in RNAcentral is "partial 16S ribosomal RNA". It matches the Rfam family "Bacterial small subunit ribosomal RNA", at positions 338 to 795 of the family's 1533-position model. The record is from RNAcentral.
CCUACGGGGGGCAGCAGUGUGGGAUAUUGCACAAUGGGGGAAACCCUGAUGCAGCGACGCCGCGUGGGCGAAGAAGUAUUUCGGUAUGUAAAGCCCUAUCAGCAGGGAAGAAGAAAUGACGGUAUCUGAGCAAGAAGCACCGGCUAAAUACGGGCCAGCAGCCGCGGUAAUACGUAGGGUGCAAGCGUUCUCCGGAUGUACGGGGUGUAAAGGGAGCGGAGGCGGCACGGAAAGCCUGGUGUGAAAGCCCGCGGCCCAACCGCGGGACUGCAUUGGAAACUACCGGGCUGGAGUGCGGGAGAGGUAAGCGGAAUUCGUGGUGUAGCGGUGAAAUGCGUAGAUAUUAGGAAGAACACCGGUGGCGAAGGCGGCCUACUGGACGGUGACUGACGCUGAGGCUCGAAAGCGUGGGGAGCAAACAGGAUUAGAUACCCUAGUAGUC